This 311-nucleotide long non-coding RNA is filed under the name Mytilus galloprovincialis (Mediterranean mussel). The record is from RNAcentral. Lineage: Eukaryota; Metazoa; Mollusca; Bivalvia; Mytilida; Mytilidae.
UCCAGGUGAAAUCGAUUUAAAUUUCCAGUUGCCAUUUACGUACUAUGUACACGGAUAAAAAGGGUUAUAAUUUGGUAGGGUCUUUAUUCAUUUAGUGUUGUUGAAUGUACAGUUUGCUGGUUGUUCUUUGACAACACUGCCACUGUCAUUUUUAAAAAAUGAUGCAAAAUCACAUGUUCCUUUUCUUUGCCCAACUUUAAAAAAAACUGUAAACAUGAUAAAUUACGAAAAAGCUUUUUUUUCCUUCCCUGCAUCGAAGUUUUGUAACUCAAUCAAGAUCACCUGAGUUAAAAUAAGAUACUCGAGCAGAU